GCUUAGAAGCAGCCAUCAUUUAAAGAAAGCGUAAUAGCUCACUGGUCGAGUCGGCCUGCGCGGAAGAUGUAACGGGGCUAAACCAUGCACCGAAGCUGCGGCAGCGACGCUUAUGCGUUGUUGGGUAGGGGAGCGUUCUGUAAGCCUGUGAAGGUGUGCUGUGAGGUAUGCUGGAGGUAUCAGAAGUGCGAAUGCUGACAUAAGUAACGAUAAAGCGGGUGAAAAGCCCGCUCGCCGGAAGACCAAGGGUUCCUGUCCAACGUUAAUCGGGGCAGGGUGAGUCGACCCCUAAGGCGAGGCCGAAAGGCGUAGUCGAUGGGAAACAGGUUAAUAUUCCUGUACUUGGUGUUACUGCGAAGGGGGGACGGAGAAGGCUAUGUUGGCCGGGCGACGGUUGUCCCGGUUUAAGCGUGUAGGCUGGUUUUCCAGGCAAAUCCGGAAAAUCAAGGCCGAGGCGUGAUGACGAGGCACUACGGUGCUGAAGCAACAAAUGCCCUGCUUCCAGGAAAAGCCUCUAAGCAUCAGGUAACAUCAAAUCGUACCCCAAACCGACACAGGUGGUCAGGUAGAGAAUACCAAGGCGCUUGAGAGAACUCGGGUGAAGGAACUAGGCAAAAUGGUGCCGUAACUUCGGGAGAAGGCACGCUGAUACGUAGGUGAAGCGACUUGCUCGUGGAGCUGAAAUCAGUCGAAGAUACCAGCUGGCUGCAACUGUUUAUUAAAAACACAGCACUGUGCAAACACGAAAGUGGACGUAUACGGUGUGACGCCUGCCCGGUGCCGGAAGGUUAAUUGAUGGGGUUAGCGCAAGCGAAGCUCUUGAUCGAAGCCCCGGUAAACGGCGGCCGUAACUAUAACGGUCCUAAGGUAGCGAAAUUCCUUGUCGGGUAAGUUCCGACCUGCACGAAUGGCGUAAUGAUGGCCAGGCUGUCUCCACCCGAGACUCAGUGAAAUUGAACUCGCUGUGAAGAUGCAGUGUACCCGCGGCAAGACGGAAAGACCCCGUGAACCUUUACUAUAGCUUGACACUGAACAUUGAGCCUUGAUGUGUAGGAUAGGUGGGAGGCUUUGAAGUGUGGACGCCAGUCUGCAUGGAGCCGACCUUGAAAUACCACCCUUUAAUGUUUGAUGUUCUAACGUGGACCCGUGAUCCGGGUUGCGGACAGUGUCUGGUGGGUAGUUUGACUGGGGCGGUCUCCUCCUAAAGAGUAACGGAGGAGCACGAAGGUUGGCUAAUCCUGGUCGGACAUCAGGAGGUUAGUGCAAUGGCAUAAGCCAGCUUGACUGCGAGCGUGACGGCGCGAGCAGGUGCGAAAGCAGGUCAUAGUGAUCCGGUGGUUCUGAAUGGAAGGGCCAUCGCUCAACGGAUAAAAGGUACUCCGGGGAUAACAGGCUGAUACCGCCCAAGAGUUCAUAUCGACGGCGGUGUUUGGCACCUCGAUGUCGGCUCAUCACAUCCUGGGGCUGAAGUAGGUCCCAAGGGUAUGGCUGUUCGCCAUUUAAAGUGGUACGCGAGCUGGGUUUAGAACGUCGUGAGACAGUUCGGUCCCUAUCUGCCGUGGGCGCUGGAGAACUGAGGGGGGCUGCUCCUAGUACGAGAGGACCGGAGUGGACGCAUCACUGGUGUUCGGGUUGUCAUGCCAAUGGCACUGCCCGGUAGCUAAAUGCGGAAGAGAUAAGUGCUGAAAGCAUCUAAGCACGAAACUUGCCCCGAGAUGAGUUCUCCCUGACCCUUUAAGGGUCCUGAAGGAACGUUGAAGACGACGACGUUGAUAGGCCGGGUGUGUAAGCGCAGCGAUGCGUUGAGCUAACCGGUACUAAUGAACCGUGAGGCUUAACCUUACAACGCCGAAG
This 1854-nucleotide ribosomal RNA is filed under the name Shigella flexneri. RNAcentral's name for it is "partial 23S ribosomal RNA". It matches the Rfam family "Bacterial large subunit ribosomal RNA", at positions 1104 to 2925 of the family's 2925-position model. Lineage: Bacteria; Pseudomonadati; Pseudomonadota; Gammaproteobacteria; Enterobacterales; Enterobacteriaceae. The record is from RNAcentral.